This 21-nucleotide non-coding RNA is filed under the name Arabidopsis thaliana (thale cress). Lineage: Eukaryota; Viridiplantae; Streptophyta; Magnoliopsida; Brassicales; Brassicaceae. The record is from RNAcentral.
CCGACCAGGGAUCAGCGGAUG